RNAcentral lists this ribosomal RNA (253 nucleotides) under uncultured bacterium. RNAcentral's name for it is "partial 16S ribosomal RNA". It matches the Rfam family "Bacterial small subunit ribosomal RNA", at positions 524 to 776 of the family's 1533-position model. The record is from RNAcentral.
UACGUAGGGGGCAAGCGUUGUCCGGAAUCAUUGGGCGUAAAGAGCGCGUAGGCGGCCCGAUAAGUCCGCUGUGAAAGUCAAGGGCUCAACCCUUGAAUGCCGGUGGAUACUGUCGGGCUAGAGUCCGGAAGAGGCGAGUGGAAUUCCUGGUGUAGCGGUGAAAUGCGCAAAUAUCAGGAGGAACGCCAAUGGCGAAGGCAGCUCGCUGGGACGGUACUGACGCUGAGGCGCGAAAGCGUGGGGAGCAAACAGG